Myotis davidii is the source of this 455-nucleotide long non-coding RNA. RefSeq lists it as uncharacterized. Lineage: Eukaryota; Metazoa; Chordata; Mammalia; Chiroptera; Vespertilionidae. The transcript is spliced from 3 exons. The record is from RefSeq and is a predicted model, not a curated record.
CUUGUGGAGGAAGAGAAUGAGAGACAGACACUGGGUCACAUGUCCUUCAUCUUCCAACAGGGCAGGGCUCCGAGGCUUGCAGGGCCCUCCAGGGAAACUGGGGCCUCCAGGAAGUAGAGAGGCUCCUGGGCUGCAAGGAGUGAAGGGCCAAAAAGGAGAUCAUGGAGACAGUUAAGUUACGGAGACUAAGCUGGCUAACUUAGAGAGAGAGCUGAGGAGCCUGGAGGCAGAACUGGACCGCAUCAAAAAUUGCACACCUUCUCCUUGGGCAAGAGAUCUGGAAAGAAGCUCUAUGUUACCAAUGGUGAAAAGAUGCCUUUUUCCAAAGUGAAGGCUCUGUGCGCUGAGCUCCAGGCCACCGUGGCCACCUUCCGGAAUGCUGAGGAGAACAAAGCCAUCAUGGACAGGCCAAUGACCAUGCCUUCCUGGGCAUCACAGAUGAAGUGACUGAACUC